Molecule: long non-coding RNA, 2343 nt
Filed under: Brassica napus (rape)
Lineage: Eukaryota; Viridiplantae; Streptophyta; Magnoliopsida; Brassicales; Brassicaceae
Description: long non-coding RNA (BNAP_LNC003071)
Source: RNAcentral
GCCUCUAUGACAGACUCAGCCGCCACCUUUCCUUUUCUAUCGGCAAGAGAACAGUUACUCCUCCUCAAACUAUUACUCUCAUCUUCUCUCAGAAGAGAAGAGUAGCCGCAGCUUCCACCGAUAGGGUUCCAACCAGGCGAAUACUCAGGUCCGUUCCCGAUCCCUCCUCUCUUAGCCCUCCUGAUCCCUACGCAAAGAUCUCCACUCUCAGCUCUCAUGAAAACGAUAGAGUCUCCCGCCACAAGCUUCUUCUGGUUCACGAAGUUACUCCACCCUGUAGUGAGGAGAUGCCGACGCGGCGUCCCUCUGUAGAUAUGUCUGAACUUCCAUACAUCUCCGUGAACAUCUUUGGCGAGAAUGGUCUGAACAGGCGGCUCAGCGUUGUAGUCUAGCCUCGGGAAGAUCGUUUCCGCGCAGUAGCGCGGGACUGAGAAUCCCCCACCGUUGUUAGCAUCGGACUGAGUCAGAGUCUUGGCAAAGGAAGGAGUCUUCUCGCUGUUAGUCUCGAAACCAUUACCUUCUUGACCAUCUCCGUAGUCGUGAUCGUCGUCUUUUAAAGGGAUCAGUCUCAGUUUGGCGAAAACCUCGUCGGAUUCAGGAUCAGCCAUGUACUUGAUGGCCAAGACACGGCAUAAAACCAUAGGAGGGAUAGGGAGGUUCUUGAAAUCUACGUGGUCGUAAGCGUUUUCCGCGUGUCCUUGAGGGAAGUAGAAGACUUUGGAGUUCAUAGGUGGCAUACGGACCAUGCCGCCAGCACAUGCAUGCCAUAGCUGUGGAUCUAAACCUUUCUCUGAUCCGCUUUUCAUCGGAUCCAUUACAUUUAUCAUUUCUAACAAAUGUAAUAAUCCCUACAAAUGAAAAUGAAAUAAAAGGAUUAUUAGUUUUUGUUUUGAACAGAGUAGAUAAGACAGAACACAAAAGCAUAUGCUUUUUUUUUUUUGUUUAAAGUACUUUUAACAUGUUAAAAAGCUUUUAGUCUUUUGAAUCAGUCAACUCUCUUAUACCUAACAACCGAGAUUUUCCCGGAAAAAAAAAGUUUCCUGAAAAUCCGACAAAAGGGUUAUGUCUAGAUAGAUUCGGUGAGAGAUUGAAUAUGAUUAUCAAGAAAACUUCAGAUAAUUCAAUAAGAGAUUAAUAACAGUUCAAGUUUAAAAGCCAGCUCAAGGUUGUGUUGCGAGGAAGAUAAAGCAGAAGGUCACAGAUCGGUCAUGUUGAGGAAAACUGAAACAGUAAAACUUCUUCAAAAGUAGAGAGAAGAACAUAGAACAGAUCAAGAUUAAGCUAAUCAAAUUAAAACAUCACACGGAACUGAUUAAAUAUUUAUUAAUAAAGAUGAAAUUCAUACAAGGAUUCGAUCAAACAGAGAAGAUUUAAGACAGAAGUGAAAGACUUUUGUUCAAACCUUGAACAGUAGUAGUAGAUCUGAGACAAGUUCUUGAAGAUUCUGUUCUAAAAAAACCCUUCUCUUGGUUUCUUGAGAAUCUGAAGAUUCUGCAGCUAAGUUUCUGCUUCAGAAUCGGAUAAGAGUUCACUUUUGUUGUACAGAGGGAAAUGAAAAGGGUUCGUGUAUAUGAAGGAGAAAGGUUUGGCUUUCUGGAAAAUAAAAUAAAUAUAUAUAAAAGCCAUUUAUUUUUUCAACUUUCAUUAACUCAUUCACAUGUUAUGAUUUUAAUCAGAUUAAAAAUAAAAAAAAUGUAAUGUUUUAAAUCAUUUAAAUUACGCCCCAAAAAUGGUAACAAUUUGGUAAGUCAAACCCUUGAUUCCGGGCAUAAAAAUCGACAAUACGGAGUGUAAAAAAAAUAUUAUAAAAUUUGAUAUAUAACCUACGUUGCACGGAAGCUUCAUCGGACGUCCGUUUCCCGCUUCGGAACCGGAAUCGGAAUCGGAACCUUGUGGAAGCUCGCGGAAUCUCGCUUCCAAAACGUUUCUAAAAUAUUCUCUUUAAAAACUUGUUGGAAGCUUACGAUUCCGUUUUGGAAUCACGCUUCCGUUUUAAAAAAAAAUGUAAUGUAUAUCAAUAAAAUAUAAAACCAUAGUUUUAAUCUAUAUAAAAUAAAAAAAUUAAUAGAAAUGAAUAUUGAAUUAUACAUAUACAAAUAUUAAAAAUAAUACUAUAAAUCAUCUUUAUGCAUUGAGAUUUUUUUAUUAAAGAUAUAGCACAAAUUGAAAUAUAUUGUGUCAACCAGGCGAAUACUCAGGUCCGUUCCCGAUCCCUCCUCUCUUAGCCCUCCUGAUCCCUACGCAAAGAUCUCCACUCUCAGCUCUCAUGAAAACGAUAGAGUCUCCCGCCACAAGCUUCUUCUGGUUCACGAAGUUACUCCACCCUGUAGUGAGGAGAUGCCG